RNAcentral lists this ribosomal RNA (429 nucleotides) under uncultured bacterium. RNAcentral describes it as "bacterial SSU rRNA". It matches the Rfam family "Bacterial small subunit ribosomal RNA", at positions 29 to 506 of the family's 1533-position model. The record is from RNAcentral.
GUGAACGCUGGCGGCGUGGAUAAGUCAUGCAAGUCGAAAGGAUUUAGAUCCUUGGCGAACGAGGUAGUAACGCGUAGGAACGUGCCCGGAAGUCGGGGAUAAUCAGUCGAAAGAUUGGAUAACACCCGAUAGUCUCGCAAGAGUAAAAAUUUAUUGCUUCCGGAGCGGCCUGCGUAGCAUCAGCUAGUUGGUUAGGUAAUUGCUGACCAAGGCUUUGACGCUUAGGGGGGCUGAGAGGCCGAUCCCCACCGAUGAGACUGCGACACGGCUCAUACUCCUACGGGAGGCUGCAGACGAGAAUAUUCGACAAUGGGCGUAAGCCUGAUCGAGCGACGCCGCGUGAUGGAUGAAGUGCUUCGGUACGUAAACAUCUUUUAUGGAGGAGGAAUUUUUGACGUUACUCCAUGAAUAAGGGGCUCCUAACUCUGU